This 637-nucleotide long non-coding RNA is filed under the name Nicotiana benthamiana. RNAcentral's name for it is "long non-coding RNA (NBEN_LNC030319)". The record is from RNAcentral. Lineage: Eukaryota; Viridiplantae; Streptophyta; Magnoliopsida; Solanales; Solanaceae.
UCUCCCUCUUCGUCUUUGAAGAACACAGACCAACAAACCCCCACUAAUGGUGGGGGUGGAUUUUGGGUAUAAAUAGGAGUCAUUUUGACUAAUGGUGGGGGUGGAUUUUGAACAUUAGAAAUUCAAUAUUGAGAGCUUAGGUUUUUCUUACGCUAAGAUUUCAGAGUGAUGUUGGCAGUCUUCAUACGAAGAAUCCAGCUUUGAGGGAGAGAGAUAGGAUGAUUUUUCAGAACUUGAAAUUCAGUCCUUGAGAUCUAAAAAUUGAAAGUGAAGCCUUUUAUUUACUGCUGAAAAUCAAAACUCUGUUACUGCUUCUAUGGAUUCCAUUUGGUACUACUGAUUUUCAUAUUGGCUUUCCUGGGUUUUCUAUUUCGUUUUUGAGUACUGUUUCAUUGAGUUCCUGGGUUUCUGCUUGGGUUUCUGGUCUGCACUAGUUUUCUGCUAUUACUACAUUGGUUUUUACAAUCUCUGGUGCAUCUGUGUUGCUGUUUAAUUUUUUGAAACUGUUAUUGGUUUUCCUGGGAUCUGGUCUGUUGGGUUUCUGCCUAUUGUUGAUUAAUCUGCCUGUUGUUGUUACUGCACCUGCUGAUCCUCCUCUUCUUUCUCUAUUUGUCUAUUUCCAGAUACACUUUCGAAC